UGGAUAGGGGUUCUGAGAGGAAGGUCCCCCACAUUGGAACUGAGCCAGGAUCAAACUCUUACGGGAGGCAGCAGUGAGGAAUAUUGGUCAAUGGGCGAGAGCCUGAACCAGCCAAGUAGCGUGAAGGAUGACUGCCUAUGGGUUGUAAACUUCUUUUAUAAAGGAAUAAGUCGGGUAUGGAUACCCGUUUGCAUGUACUUUAUGAAUAAGGAUCGGCUAACUCCGUGCCAGCAGCCGCGGUAAUACGGAGGAUUCGAGCGUUAUCCGGAUUUAUUGGGUUUAAAGGGAGCGUAGAUGGAUGUUUAAGUCAGUUGUGAAAGUUUGCGGCUCAACCGUAAAAUUGCAGUUGAUACUGGAUAUCUUGAGUGCAGUUGAGGCAGGCGGAAUUCGUGGUGUAGCGGUGAAAUGCUUAGAUAUCACGAAGAACUCCGAUUGCGAAGGCAGCCUGCUAAGCUGCAACUGACAUUGAGGCUCGAAAGUG
RNAcentral lists this ribosomal RNA (481 nucleotides) under uncultured bacterium. RNAcentral describes it as "bacterial SSU rRNA". It matches the Rfam family "Bacterial small subunit ribosomal RNA", at positions 280 to 761 of the family's 1533-position model. The record is from RNAcentral.